Molecule: non-coding RNA, 89 nt
Filed under: Ureibacillus endophyticus
Lineage: Bacteria; Bacillati; Bacillota; Bacilli; Caryophanales; Caryophanaceae
Description: Purine riboswitch
Rfam family: Purine riboswitch aptamer
About the family: Riboswitches are metabolite binding domains within certain messenger RNAs that serve as precision sensors for their corresponding targets. Allosteric rearrangement of mRNA structure is mediated by ligand binding, and this results in modulation of gene expression.
Source: RNAcentral
CUUUAUAUAAACAUCCCACAUAUAUGCUAGAGGAUAUGGCUCUAGUGUCUCUACCCGACGCCGUAAAUGUCGGACUAUGCGGGAAAGCU